UACGGGGGGGGCAAGCGUUGUUCGGAAUUACUGGGCGUAAAGGGCGCGUAGGCGGCCUUCUAAGUCGGACGUGAAAUCCCUCGGCUUAACCGAGGAACUGCGUCUGAUACUGAAAGGCUUGAAUCCGGGAGAGGGAUGUGGAAUUCCAGGUGUAGCGGUGAAAUGCGUAGAUAUCUGGAGGAACACCGGUGGCGAAGGCGGCAUCCUGGACCGGUAUUGACGCUGAGGCGCGAAAGCUAGGGGAGCAAACGGG
Molecule: ribosomal RNA, 253 nt
Filed under: uncultured bacterium
Lineage: Bacteria
Description: partial 16S ribosomal RNA
Rfam family: Bacterial small subunit ribosomal RNA
Source: RNAcentral